GUUAAAUAGGAGUUAGGAUCCAAUAAGAUUAAAGUUCAUCCAAGUUAAGUGUAGAGUUCUUCAAAAGGUAACAUCCUUUUUACUUGCAUAUGCUUUGUAUAGGUUCUUUCCAAUUGGGUAACUCAUAUCCUAUGUAACCCAUUUGGGGUUUUGAGACAUUAAGAUGAGAUGCUUUAGUUUUGAGGUUUGAUAGUUUUCUUGCUAGUGGAAUGUUUUGGGGUUAAUGCAUGUUACGCUUCUAGGGUUAAAAUAGUUGGUUAUUGAGUUUAUUACAUGAAUAUAUGUUUGAGUUGAGUUUUUGGAGCUUUAAACAUGAGUUGAUGUGUUUUGGGAAUGUGAAGUUGCUACAAAUUUCAAAUUGGGAAUUCUUAAAAUUCUCACAUUCGAC
This 388-nucleotide unclassified non-coding RNA is filed under the name Hevea brasiliensis (rubber tree). Lineage: Eukaryota; Viridiplantae; Streptophyta; Magnoliopsida; Malpighiales; Euphorbiaceae. The record is from RNAcentral.